CAAAAAGAACAAAUUACAAGAUAUAGAAAUAUGACUAAAUGUGCUAUUAUGAAUGAGGAUUGUUAUAUACAUAUAACCUGCUCUGAGAAAGGACUUUUUGAAAGAGAAAGGUUAAGAGAUCAGAGUAACUUUUGAGCUAAUGAGGACACUAGGUGACAUCAAGCCCAAACACUUUCUGAGCAAGUGGCUGGUCCUGAGAGGUGAUCGAGGUCACACAACUAUAAGAUAUAAGCAGGAACUGAAAAAUCACAUCUCCAGACUCAUCACUUGGGUUUGGCCAUGGACUUGCAUAUCAUUGCCGAGAGAAGUCUCAAUAGCAGCUUAAGUACUAUUGAGGACCCCAAGAUGACAAAUUUUCUCCAUCUCUUCUAAGGCUGAAUUGUCAUAUGCAGUGUGCUUUAUGACUAUGCUUUGAUUUGUGCUGAUGGAUCUAAGGUGUGCACCUCUGGAGGCUUUGAGGUGGCUAUACUUCAGUUGUGGAUAAAGAGGUGAAGAAGGACAUCUAUGGUGAUGCUCAGUAAUAUCUGCGAAGAACUGUGGAGACAGACAAAUAGUCAAAGCCUCUGCAGGAAGCAUGGCUGGGGAGGCCUCAGGAAACUUACAACCGUGGCAGACGGCAAACGGAAACAAGCACAUCUUAUGUGGCCAGAACAGAAGGAAGAGAGAAAAAAAUGAA
Molecule: long non-coding RNA, 676 nt
Organism: Gorilla gorilla gorilla (western lowland gorilla)
Lineage: Eukaryota; Metazoa; Chordata; Mammalia; Primates; Hominidae
Exons: 6
Source: RefSeq, a predicted model, not a curated record